UAUCCAGAAUGUCAAUGCAAAAGAUGAGCCU
This 31-nucleotide non-coding RNA is filed under the name Rattus norvegicus (Norway rat). Lineage: Eukaryota; Metazoa; Chordata; Mammalia; Rodentia; Muridae. The record is from RNAcentral.